Molecule: microRNA, 23 nt
Filed under: Monodelphis domestica (gray short-tailed opossum)
Lineage: Eukaryota; Metazoa; Chordata; Mammalia; Didelphimorphia; Didelphidae
Description: mdo-miR-12354-3p
Source: miRBase by way of RNAcentral
UGAUUUCAAAGAUGUGGGUGUUU